This 76-nucleotide transfer RNA is filed under the name Longimonas halophila. Its description in RNAcentral is "tRNA-Thr". It matches the Rfam family "tRNA". From Rfam's summary of the family: Transfer RNA (tRNA) molecules are approximately 80 nucleotides in length. Their secondary structure includes four short double-helical elements and three loops (D, anti-codon, and T loops). Lineage: Bacteria; Pseudomonadati; Rhodothermota; Rhodothermia; Rhodothermales; Salisaetaceae. The record is from RNAcentral. RNAcentral also lists the same sequence under 1 other name.
GCUGACGUAGCUCAACUGGUAGAGCAGCUCACUUGUAAUGAGCAGGUUGGGGGUUCAAGUCCCUUCGUCAGCUCCA